This 75-nucleotide small RNA is filed under the name Novosphingobium sp. ST904. RNAcentral describes it as "suhB". The record is from RNAcentral. Lineage: Bacteria; Pseudomonadati; Pseudomonadota; Alphaproteobacteria; Sphingomonadales; Sphingomonadaceae.
UGACACUGCCUUUCGGCAUCCUCUCCCAAACUUCCACAGGGCUGAUCUCCGGAUCAGCCCUUUCUUUCGGGAAGA